UACGUAGGCGGCAAGCGUUGUCCGGAUUUACUGGGCGUAAAGCGAGCGUAGGCGGUAGUAUAAGUCGCUUUUUAAAGCGUCCCGCUCAACGGGAUUGUUGGAAGCGAUACUAUAAUACUUGAGAUGUCGAGGGGUAGCUGGAACUUUCGGUGUAGGGGUGAAAUCCGAUGAUAUCGAAAGGAACACCAAGGGAGAAAUCAGGCUACUGGAGACAAUCUGACGCUGAGGUUCGACAGCUUGGGGAGCGAAAGGG
This 253-nucleotide unclassified non-coding RNA is filed under the name uncultured bacterium. Its description in RNAcentral is "contains 16S-23S intergenic spacer region". It matches the Rfam family "Bacterial small subunit ribosomal RNA", at positions 524 to 776 of the family's 1533-position model. The record is from RNAcentral.